Molecule: ribosomal RNA, 740 nt
Filed under: Chromobacterium violaceum
Lineage: Bacteria; Pseudomonadati; Pseudomonadota; Betaproteobacteria; Neisseriales; Chromobacteriaceae
Description: bacterial SSU rRNA
Rfam family: Bacterial small subunit ribosomal RNA
Source: RNAcentral
CCAAGAUGUCACUAAACUGUUGGGGGUUUGCAUCCUUGGUAGGGUAGCUAACGCGUGAAGUUGACCGCCUGGGGAGAACGGCCGCAAGGUUAAAACUCAAAGGAAUUGACGGGGACCCGCACAAGCGGUGGAUGAUGUGGAUUAAUUCGAUGCAACGCGAAAAAACUUACCUGCUCUUGACAUGUACGGAACUUGCCAGAGAUGGCUUGGUGCCCGAAAGGGAGCCGUAACACAGGUGCUGCAUGGCUGUCGUCAGCUCGUGUCGUGAGAUGUUGGGUUAAGUCCCGCAACGAGCGCAACCCUUGUCAUUAGUUGCCAUCAUUCAGUUGGGCACUCUAAUGAGACUGCCGGUGACAAACCGGAGGAAGGUGGGGAUGACGUCAAGUCCUCAUGGCCCUUAUGAGCAGGGCUUCACACGUCAUACAAUGGUCGGUACAGAGGGUUGCCAAGCCGCGAGGUGGAGCUAAUCUCACAAAACCGAUCGUAGUCCGGAUCGCACUCUGCAACUCGAGUGCGUGAAGUCGGAAUCGCUAGUAAUCGCAGAUCACCAUGCUGCGGUGAAUACGUUCCCGGGUCUUGUACACACCGCCCGUCACACCAUGGGAGAGAGUUUCACCAGAAGUGGGUAGGCUAACCGCAAGGAGGCCGCUUACCACGGUGGGAUUCAUGACUGGGGGUGAAGUCGUAACAAGGUAACCGCGCGGGUUUCUUUCCCCGCGCUUUGCCCGAAGAAGCGGAGU